RNAcentral lists this ribosomal RNA (468 nucleotides) under uncultured bacterium. RNAcentral describes it as "partial 16S ribosomal RNA". It matches the Rfam family "Bacterial small subunit ribosomal RNA", at positions 28 to 507 of the family's 1533-position model. The record is from RNAcentral.
GACGAACGCUGGCGGCGUGCUUAACACAUGCAAGUCGAACGGAAAGGCCCUGCUUUUGUGGGGUGCUCGAGUGCCGAACGCGUGAGUAACACGUGAGUAACCUGCCCUUGACUUUCGGAUAACUUCAGGAAACUGGGGCUAAUACCGGACAGGAUCUCCUGCUGCGUGGUGGGCGUUGGAUCUUCUCGGCGUUCGGGGAUGGACUCGCGGCUUAUCAGCUUGUUGGUUGGGUAGUGGCUUACCAAGGCAUUGACGGGUAGCCGGCCUGAGAGGGGGACCGGCCACAUUGGGACUGAGAUAGGGACCAGAGUCCAACGGGAGGCAGUAGUGGCGAAUAUUGCACAAUGGGAGGGAGCCUGAUGAAGCAACGCCGGGGGCGGGAUGACGGCCUUCGGGUUGUAAACCGCUUUAGCCUGUGACGAAGCGUGAGUGACGGUAAUGGGUAAAGAAGCACCGGCUAACUACGUG